UACGGAGGGUGCAAGCGUUAUCCGGAUUCACUGGGUUUAAAGGGUGUGUAGGCGGGUAUUUAAGUCAGUGGUGAAAUCUCCAGGCUCAACCUGGAAACUGCCAUUGAUACUAUUUAUCUUGAAUAUCGUUGAGGUUGGCGGAAUAUAUCAUGUAGCGGUGAAAUGCAUAGAUAUGAUAUAGAACACCGAUUGCGAAGGCAGCUAACUAAGCGAUUAUUGACGCUGAGGCACGAAAGCGUGGGGAGCAAACAGG
This 253-nucleotide ribosomal RNA is filed under the name uncultured bacterium. Its description in RNAcentral is "partial 16S ribosomal RNA". It matches the Rfam family "Bacterial small subunit ribosomal RNA", at positions 524 to 776 of the family's 1533-position model. The record is from RNAcentral.